GAUGAGCGCUGGCGGCGUGCCUAAUACAUGCAAGUCGAGCGAACGGACGAUACGCUUGUUUCUCUGUUGUUUGCGGCGCACGGGUGUGUAACACGUGUAUAACCUACCUAUCAUACUGAUAAAAUUUCGUGAAUCCGGAUCUAAUACCGGAGGAUAUUUUGAACCGCAGGGUUCAAUAGUAAAAUACGGUCUUUCUGUCUCUUCUCGAUGGAUCCCCGCUGCAUUAGAUAGUUGGUAGGUUAACGGCUUACCAAGGCAACGAGGCAUAGCCGACCUACGAGGGUGAUCGGCGGCACUGGAACUGAGACAGGGUCCAGAGUCCUAAGGGAGGCAGCAGUAGCGAAUCUUCCGCAAUGGGGGGAAACAUGACAGAGCAGCGCCGCGUGAGUGGUGACAGUCUUCGGAUCGUAAAACUCUGUUAUUGGGGAAAAACAUAUGUGUAAGUAACUGUGCAGAUAGUGACGGUACCUAAUCAGAAAGCCCCGGCUAACUACGUG
This 497-nucleotide ribosomal RNA is filed under the name uncultured bacterium. Its description in RNAcentral is "partial 16S ribosomal RNA". It matches the Rfam family "Bacterial small subunit ribosomal RNA", at positions 28 to 507 of the family's 1533-position model. The record is from RNAcentral.